RNAcentral lists this ribosomal RNA (1149 nucleotides) under Listeria monocytogenes. Its description in RNAcentral is "partial 23S ribosomal RNA". It matches the Rfam family "Bacterial large subunit ribosomal RNA", at positions 380 to 1529 of the family's 2925-position model. Lineage: Bacteria; Bacillati; Bacillota; Bacilli; Caryophanales; Listeriaceae. The record is from RNAcentral.
UGAAAUGGCUUUCCCUCCAGAGUGGAUCCUGAGUACGGCGGAACACGUGAAAUUCCGUCGGAAUCCGGGAGGACCAUCUCCCAAGGCUAAAUACUCCCUAGUGACCGAUAGUGAACCAGUACCGUGAGGGAAAGGUGAAAAGCACCCCGGAAGGGGAGUGAAACAGUUCCUGAAACCGUGUGCCUACAAGUAGUUAGAGCCCGUUAAUGGGUGAUAGCGUGCCUUUUGUAGAAUGAACCGGCGAGUUACGAUUUGUUGCAAGGUUAAGCGGAAAAAGCGGAGCCGUAGCGAAAGCGAGUCUGAAUAGGGCGCAUAAGUAACAGGUCGUAGACCCGAAACCAGGUGAUCUACCCAUGUCCAGGAUGAAGGUAAGGUAAUACUUACUGGAGGUCCGAACCCACGCACGUUGAAAAGUGCGGGGAUGAGGUGUGGGUAGCGGAGAAAUUCCAAUCGAACUUGGAGAUAGCUGGUUCUCUCCGAAAUAGCUUUAGGGCUAGCCUCGAGGUAAAGAGUCAUGGAGGUAGAGCACUGUUUGGACUAGGGGCCCUUCUCGGGUUACCGAAUUCAGAUAAACUCCGAAUGCCAUGUACUUAUACUCGGGAGUCAGACUGCGAGUGAUAAGAUCCGUAGUCGAAAGGGAAACAGCCCAGACCACCAGUUAAGGUCCCCAAAUAUAUGUUAAGUGGAAAAGGAUGUGGGGUUGCUUAGACAACCAGGAUGUUGGCUUAGAAGCAGCCACCAUUGAAAGAGUGCGUAAUAGCUCACUGGUCGAGUGACCCCGCGCCGAAAAUGUACCGGGGCUAAACAUAUUACCGAAACUGUGGAUGAACCUCUUUAGAGGUUCGUGGUAGGAGAGCGUUCUAAGGGCGGUGAAGUCAGACCGGAAGGACUGGUGGAGCGCUUAGAAGUGAGAAUGCCGGUAUGAGUAGCGAAAGAAGGGUGAGAAUCCCUUCCACCGAAUAUCUAAGGUUUCCUGAGGAAGGCUCGUCCGCUCAGGGUUAGUCGGGACCUAAGCCGAGGCCGAUAGGCGUAGGCGAUGGACAACAGGUAGAGAUUCCUGUACCAGUGCUAAUUGUUUAACCGAUGGGGUGACACAGAAGGAUAGGGAAUCGCACGAAUGGAAAUGUGCGUCCAAGCAGUGAGUGUGAG